This is a long non-coding RNA of Saimiri boliviensis boliviensis (Bolivian squirrel monkey), 1147 nucleotides long. RefSeq lists it as uncharacterized. The record is from RefSeq and is a predicted model, not a curated record. NCBI's taxonomy places the organism in Eukaryota, Metazoa, Chordata, Mammalia, Primates, Cebidae.
UCUGCGGCCGCUGAUGCGCUUGCGCGCUCGCGGUCUAGGUAGUCUUCCUAGCUUUACCUAAUGCCCGGCCGGCCCGUGCUCAUCCUUCCGCGCCUUCACGGUCGCCUUGGCCUGCAUUGCCUUUCUGCGUACUCUGCGUUCCCCAAUGGGAGGAGGGUCUGGUGAUAAAAUAGCGGCGAGGAAGACUUCACUCUCUACCAUUUAGAGUUCAAAAUGGGUUGUAAAGCAGUGGAGACAACUCACAACAUCAACAGCGUAUUUGGCCCAGAAAUUGCUAAUGAAAACGUACAGUGUAGUAGUGGUUCAAGAAGUUUCGAAAAGUAGAGGAGAGCCUUGAAGAUGUGGAGCAUAGUGACUGGCCAUUGGAAGUUGACAACAACCAAUUAAGAGCAAUCCUCGAAGCCAGUCCUCUUAACAACUACACGAGAAGUUGCCGAAGAACUCAACGUUGACCAUUCUGCAGUCAUUUGGCAUUUGAAGCAAAUUGGAUAGGUGAAAAAGCUUGAUAAGCGGGUGCCUCAUGAACUAAGUGAAUAUUUAAAAAAUCAUCCUUUUGAAAUGUCAUUUUCUCUUAAUCUAUGCAACAACAGUGAACCGUUUCUCAAUCAGAUUGUGAUGUGCCACAAAAAGUGGAUUUUAUAUGAUAACCAGUGACGACCAGCUCAGUGGUUGGACCAGGACGCUCCAAAGCACUUCCCAAAGCCGAACUUGCACCAGAAAAAGGUCAUGGUCACUGCUUGGUGGUCUGCUGCGGGUCUGAUCGACUACAACUUUCUGAAUCCUGUGGAAACCCUUAAUCUGAGAAGUAUGCUCAGCAAUUCGAUGAGAUGCACCAAAAACUGCAAUGCCUGCAGCCAGCAUUGGUCAACAGAAAGGGCCCAAUUCUUCUCCAUGACAGUGCCCAACGGCAUGUUGCACAGCCAGUGCUUCAAAAGUUGAACGAAUUGGGCUACGAAGUUUUGCCUCAUCCUCCAUAUUCACCUGACCUCUCACCAACUGACUACCACUUCUUCAAGCAUCUCAACAACUUUUUGGAGGGAAAAUGCUUUCCAAGAGUUCGUCAAAUUCCAAAGCAUGGAUUUUUAUGCUACAGGAGUAAACAAACAUUUCUUGUUGGCAAAAAUGUGUUGAUUGUAAUGGUUCCUAU